AUGUACUCGCUGAGGGAUUUAUUGGGUUUCGUUGUGGGAGCAGCGAUCACGGCCGCCAUUGUCGUGCUGCUGGUGCCGUCGUCUGCUCCCAACUGCCCGUGCAGCCCCGAGCUGGCGUUGGACAACAAUGGAAGCCAAGCACAUCUCAUGAGCACAAAAAACCUCAGCACGGUUCCGGCCGUGAAGAGUAAAGAAGAAGACAGCCUUGCGGAGCUUCUGAGAAGCGCGGCCAUGGAGGACAAGACCGUCAUACUGACCUUCGUCAACGAGGCGCUGACGCUGCCCGGGUCGCUCCUGGAGCUCUUCCUGGAGAGCUUCCGGCUGGGCGUGCGGACGCAGCCCCUGCUGAAGCACCUGGUGAUCGUGGCCAUGGACGCCAAGGCGCUGGAGCGGUGCCAGCACAUGCACCCGCUCUGCUACCCGCUCGGCGGUGGCCGCAGCAGCGACGUCGCACCUGGAGGGAUGACGGCGGCAGAGGUGACGUUCAUGAGCAAGGACUACGUGGAGCUGAUGUGGGCGCGGAACCGGUUCCAGGCGCGGGUGCUGGAGCUGGGGUUCGGCUUCGUGUUCACGGACGUGGACAUCGUGUGGUUCCGGAACCCGCUGCUGCGGUUCCCCGUCGCCGCCGACAUCGCCUUGGCGUGCGACCAGUUCUUGGGCAACAAUCCCUAUGACCUCGACAAGGCGGCCAAUGGCGGGUUCGUGUACGCGAGGCCCAACGCGCGGACGUUGGCGUUCUUCCAGGAGUGGUACGAGGCGAGGAACCGGUUCCCUGGGGAGCACGACCAGUUUGUGUUCGGCGAGGUGAAGAAGGAGCUGUCGGCGCGGCACGGGGUGACGGUGAUGCUGAUUGACACCGUCUACUUCAGCGGCGUGUGCGAGAACAAGAAGAACUUUUAUGAGGUGUGCACGUACCACGCCAACUGCCUCAUCGGUCUGCAGAAAAAGAUCGACACGCUCGCCGGCGUGCUCGACGAGUGGAAGCAAUUCAGGGCCCAGCAGCAGCUGCUUGGCAACAGCACCACCACGCUCAUCUACUGA
Molecule: ribosomal RNA, 1041 nt
Filed under: Triticum aestivum (bread wheat)
Lineage: Eukaryota; Viridiplantae; Streptophyta; Magnoliopsida; Poales; Poaceae
Description: partial small subunit ribosomal RNA
Source: RNAcentral